ACGGAAGGCAGCAGUGGGGAAUAUUGGACAAUGGGCGCAAGCCUGAUCCAGCGACGCCGCGUGAGUGAAGAAGUAUUUCGGUAUGUAAAGCUCUAUCAGCAGGGAAGAUAAUGACGGUACCUGACUAAGAAGCCCCGGCUAACUACGUGCCAGCAGCCGCGGUAAUACGUAGGUGGCAAGCGUUGUCCGGAAUUACUGGGUGUAAAGGGAGCGCAGGCGGGACUGCAAGUUGGAUGUGAAAUACCGGAGCUCAACUCCGGGGCUGCAUCCAAAACUGUAGUUCUUGAGUGGAGUAGAGGUAAGCGGAAUUCCGAGUGUAGCGGUGAAAUGCGUAGAUAUUCGGAGGAACACCAGUGGCGAAGGCGGCUUACUGGGCUCUAACUGACGCUGAGGCUCGAAAGCGUGGGGAGCAAACAGGAUUAGAUACCCUGGUA
Molecule: ribosomal RNA, 434 nt
Filed under: uncultured Clostridium sp.
Lineage: Bacteria; Bacillati; Bacillota; Clostridia; Eubacteriales; Clostridiaceae
Description: partial 16S ribosomal RNA
Rfam family: Bacterial small subunit ribosomal RNA
Source: RNAcentral